Molecule: transfer RNA, 74 nt
Filed under: Nitrososphaerota archaeon
Lineage: Archaea; Thermoproteati; Nitrososphaerota
Also listed under: 1 other name
Description: Thaumarchaeota archaeon tRNA-Gln
Rfam family: tRNA (bases 10-66)
About the family: Transfer RNA (tRNA) molecules are approximately 80 nucleotides in length. Their secondary structure includes four short double-helical elements and three loops (D, anti-codon, and T loops). Further hydrogen bonds mediate the characteristic L-shaped molecular structure. tRNAs have two regions of fundamental functional importance: the anti-codon, which is responsible for specific mRNA codon recognition, and the 3' end, to which the tRNAs corresponding amino acid is attached (by aminoacyl-tRNA synthetases). tRNAs cope with the degeneracy of the genetic code in two manners: having more than one tRNA (with a specific anti-codon) for a particular amino acid; and 'wobble' base-pairing, i.e. permitting non-standard base-pairing at the 3rd anti-codon position.
Source: RNAcentral
AGUCCAUCGAGUGUAGCGGUCAAGCAUAUCGCCCUUUGGAGGCGGUGACGGCAGUUCGAAUCUGCCCCGGGCUA